This 253-nucleotide ribosomal RNA is filed under the name uncultured bacterium. RNAcentral describes it as "partial 16S ribosomal RNA". It matches the Rfam family "Bacterial small subunit ribosomal RNA", at positions 524 to 776 of the family's 1533-position model. The record is from RNAcentral.
UACGGAGGGUGCAAGCGUUAUCCGGAUUCACUGGGUUUAAAGGGUGCGUAGGUGGGUCUGUAAGUCCGUGGUGAAAUCUCCGAGCUUAACUUGGAAACUGCCAUGGAUACUAUAGAUCUUGAAUACUGUGGAGGUUAGCGGAAUAUGUCAUGUAGCGGUGAAAUGCUUAGAUAUGACAUAGAACACCAAUUGCGAAGGCAGCUGGCUACACAAAUAUUGACACUGAUGCACGAAAGCGUGGGGAGCAAACAGG